This 1310-nucleotide long non-coding RNA is filed under the name Rattus norvegicus (Norway rat). RNAcentral's name for it is "long non-coding RNA NONRATT020464". The record is from RNAcentral. Lineage: Eukaryota; Metazoa; Chordata; Mammalia; Rodentia; Muridae.
GUCCGAGGCUUGCUUUCUAUCUUGCGCGUGGUGGGGGUUAGGAUGCUCUGUGCGCCCGAGCUUGCGGGGAGCCUGCGGGCCCCAAGCUCCGCCGUGGGCCGCGGGCAGGGGGGAGGCUGGCUCGGGCCUUGCUGAGGCGCCGCUCUGGUGAAUGGGGAGAUGGUACAAUCGUGCACGAGGGUGGGAGCCGGAUGACAGCUGCCUUGACUCCAGACAAAGCGCGGCCCUCCCCUCCCCCAGCCUCGCCGCGGGCCCACAGGGAGAGCAGUGCAGGCUCUGCAGCUGCGAGGCCUGAGGCCCCGGGCUUCGGCGCGCUCCCGGCUACGUGGCCGCCGCCGCCGGAUGGGGGAGGCGCGGGCCCGUGGCGCAGUGCCCUUGAGCCCCCGCCGCCGCCGCCUUUGUUUCUCCCCGCGGAGGCGCUGACCACGAGGCCCGCUCUCUCGAAUGGGGGACGGGCUACCCAGCUUGGUCUCUCGACGCGGGAAUGGAGCUCGGAAGGGGCCCUCCUCGAAGGAGAACGGGCGUGAAGGAGGUCGAUUUCUUCGGUUCUUAUCAGAACAGUACUUGAGGCAGGAGGAUUGCCAAUCUGGACUAGAGAUAGUGAUUACCGUCGCCGCCCCCCCACACACACACCCGGAGAAAGAAAAAGGCUAGGAAAUAGGACUGAGACAUCUUAAUGUGUUCCUUUUACAUCGUGAUUGAAGAGGGAGGGCUUCUGAAAAAAUAAGGAUGGAAUUAUAUGAGCUCCUUGGAGUAUUUAGAAAUCUAAAGAAAAAAAAGUUGUAUGGUUAUUAACCGACAAAAGCUCUUCAAGUCUCCGAUUAAAUUUUAAAAAUGGCCUCCAAUAAAACUACAUUGCAAAAAAUGGGAAAGAAACAGAAUGGAAAGAGUAAAAAAGUUGAAGAGGCAGAGCCUGAAGAAUUUGUGGUAGAAAAAGUACUGGACCGUCGUGUAGUGAAUGGGAAGGUGGAGUAUUUCCUGAAGUGGAAGGGGUUCACAGAUGCUGAUAAUACUUGGGAACCAGAAGAAAAUUUAGAUUGUCCAGAAUUAAUUGAAGCAUUUCUUAAUUCUCAAAAAGCUGGUAAAGAAAAAGAUGGUACAAAAAGGAAAUCUUUAUCUGACAGUGAAUCUGAUGAUAGCAAAUCGAAGAAGAAGAGAGAUGCUGCUGACAAGCCCAGGGGCUUUGCCAGGGGCCUUGACCCUGAGCGAAUAAUCGGUGCCACAGACAGCAGUGGAGAGCUAAUGUUUCUCAUGAAAUGGAAGGACUCAGAUGAAGCUGACUUGGUGCUGGCAAAGGAGGCGAAUAUGAA